RNAcentral lists this ribosomal RNA (300 nucleotides) under uncultured Pyrobaculum sp. RNAcentral's name for it is "bacterial SSU rRNA". The stretch from base 50 to 300 matches the Rfam family "Bacterial small subunit ribosomal RNA", at positions 547 to 795 of the family's 1533-position model. Lineage: Archaea; Thermoproteati; Thermoproteota; Thermoprotei; Thermoproteales; Thermoproteaceae. The record is from RNAcentral.
UACUCGCGUGCCAGGGGCGGGGGGAAUUGGGGGGGGUGAAGGGUUGUUGGGAUUGCCGGGACGGAAAGGGUGCGUAGGCGGCAACGGCAAAGUGAUUGGGAAAUGGCCGGGCUUAACCCGGAACGGUCAGGCGAUACUGCAGGGCUAGAGUGCAGAAGGGGCAACCGGAAUUCUCGGUGUAGCGGUGAAAUGCGUAGAUAUCGAGAGGAACACCUGCGGCGAAGGCGGGUUGCUGGGCUGACACUGACGCUGACAGCGCGAAAGCUAGGGGAGCGAACGGGAUUAGAUACCCGGGUAGUC